UACAGAGGUGGCAAGCGUUGUUCGGAAUUACUGGGCGUAAAGCGUGCGUAGACGGUUAUUUAAGUCGGGUGUGAAAGCCCCGGGCUCAACCUGGGAAUUGCAUUCGAGACUGAAUAGCUAGGGUACGGUAGAGGGAAGUGGAAUUUCCGGUGUAGCGGUGAAAUGCGUAGAUAUCGGAAGGAACAUCAGUGGCGAAAGCGACUUCCUGGACCAGUACCGACGUUCAGGCACGAAAGCGUGGGGAGCAAACAGG
This 253-nucleotide ribosomal RNA is filed under the name uncultured bacterium. RNAcentral's name for it is "partial 16S ribosomal RNA". It matches the Rfam family "Bacterial small subunit ribosomal RNA", at positions 524 to 776 of the family's 1533-position model. The record is from RNAcentral.